Long non-coding RNA from Myotis myotis, 1574 nucleotides. RefSeq lists it as uncharacterized. The transcript is spliced from 3 exons. NCBI's taxonomy places the organism in Eukaryota, Metazoa, Chordata, Mammalia, Chiroptera, Vespertilionidae. The record is from RefSeq and is a predicted model, not a curated record.
CUUCUGUGCCUCUUCCUAAAACACAGGGCAGCAGGAUGGCAGCUGUUCUGGGGGCAGUCCUGUGGGUGACUCCACACCAGGGAUCAGGAGCCGCCUUUCUACCCGCGCCCAGAAGUUACAGCUGCCCUGCAUAGCUGGGAGCUGUGCUUUGAAGUGCCCACACCUGUGGCUGUCUCCUUUCAUCUCACCACACCCAGGUGCUGGGAAUCCUGAGAAAAAAGAGCAGUCUCCUCUAUAACCACCUGAUGCCCAAGGGACAACAUUGGUACAUUGCCCAGGAAGGAACAGAAGCAAGGCAGACAAAGGAACUCUACACUAUCCCUAUUGUUUCCCGGCAAUUUCUCCAGAAACUCCUAGAUUAUAAUCCAAAAACAUCAUCACCUCCCAGGAUUACUUUUUAAUUGCCUAAGGACUUAAUGACAAUUUGUAAAGGACAUAUUUUCCUGGCAGCACAUAGCAGCAUGCAUGAGACAUUCAGAAAAACUGUGGCAGAAUAAAAGUAGACAAACGACAAAACAACUCUUUGGUAUUAAAAUGAAUAAACUUUUCCUUUGUCUGACAUUUAUUUUCAUUCAGAAUGAACUAUUCACAUUCAUCCAUUCAUUUUCAUGUUUCUAUGACACUUGGAUAAUAUUGUAUGAGAAUAUACAAAUAUACAUGAAAAUAAAGUGGUUCCAGAAACCUUAUUUCAAAUUACUUCAACAAAUAACUUUAAUAAUUUAAACUUUGGCUACCAUUUAUUGUACAGUUAUUAUGUUCAGAGUGUUCUUUACUUUAUACAUUUUGUGCCUAAUUCUUUUUUAAAAAAGAAAUCCAAACCCCAGAUUCAGAGAAGUAAGUAGCUCACUGUCAUGCAGCCAAUAGAGGUAGAAGCAGGAUCUGAACUCCGUACCACAAGAUCACAAAGCGGCUCCCUCUUUCCACUAGAGGUAGCACAAAUCACCCAAGGGGAAGAUAACAUUGUCUAGAAGUGGAUUUAUAAAGAAUUAUGAUUAAAAAUAAUUGCAAGACUUUAGUAUUCCUGUGUGUUUAGGACUACACAAUUUAUUCAUUAGGCCAUUUUAACUGAAUGUUAACCAUUUGCAAGACAUCACUGAGAGAAUAUUUACUGAUAAAAAAUUAAAUAUGUAAUAUGUGAGAUUUCACAAACCACUGUCUUCAAAUAUCAGAAACUAAUCUCCUCUGAAGUCAUUUUGAAAUUAUGCUAAAAUGCAAGUUUCCUUUGGAACUGGAAAAUCCACUAAGUGAAAUUACAUUUGGUAAUUUGUGUUCUUCAGCGACCAGUAGGCUACAUGAUGGGGUUAUGAAGAUGGUAAAAACAUGAACGAAUAAAGGGGGGAAAUGCUUAUAAUCAAAACUAUCCAAAGUAAAUACCUCUUCUGCCUUUUACUGAUGCUAUGUGAUAUACUAAGCAGUGUCUAAUUUGCAACCUUUAAAUGUCAAACCUGAGAUUUGAUCUUUUCCAGUAAACACGGAGGAUUAGAGGCCACAAUAAGAGACAAAUUUAUUAAAGACUAGUCCUUUUAUGGAGAAAGAACAAAUAAGAGGUUUCCUCACAUUGAACUUAAAAUAGC